AAAUUGAAGAGUUUGAUCAUGGCUCAGAUUGAACGCUGGCGGCAGGCCUAACACAUGCAAGUCGAACGGUAGCACAGAGAGCUUGCUCUCGGGUGACGAGUGGCGGACGGGUGAGUAAUGUCUGGGAAACUGCCUGAUGGAGGGGGAUAACUACUGGAAACGGUGGCUAAUACCGCAUAAUGUCGCAAGACCAAAGAGGGGGACCUUCGGGCCUCUUGCCAUCAGAUGUGCCCAGAUGGGAUUAGCUAGUUGGUGAGGUAACGGCUCACCAAGGCGACGAUCCCUAGCUGGUCUGA
This 296-nucleotide ribosomal RNA is filed under the name Salmonella enterica subsp. enterica serovar Uganda. RNAcentral describes it as "partial 16S ribosomal RNA". It matches the Rfam family "Bacterial small subunit ribosomal RNA", at positions 1 to 295 of the family's 1533-position model. The record is from RNAcentral. Lineage: Bacteria; Pseudomonadati; Pseudomonadota; Gammaproteobacteria; Enterobacterales; Enterobacteriaceae.